RNAcentral lists this ribosomal RNA (386 nucleotides) under uncultured eukaryote. Its description in RNAcentral is "partial 18S ribosomal RNA". It matches the Rfam family "Eukaryotic small subunit ribosomal RNA", at positions 592 to 976 of the family's 1831-position model. The record is from RNAcentral.
CAAUAGCGUAUACUAACGUUGUUGCAGUUAAAAAGCUCGUAGUUGGAUUUCUGACGGUGGUUGGAUUGGUGCGACCGCGUGUUGCAUCAACCAUACUAUUGACAACACAUGCGAUGAGUUGGUGUGGUCAAUUUAGUUUGAUCCGCCAUUUAAUCGCUCGUUUACUUUGAGAAAAUUAGAGUGUUCAAAGCAGGCAUCUUGCCUUGAAUAUGUUAGCAUGGAAUAAUAGCAUAGGACUUUGGUUCUAUUUGUUGGUUGUUCGAGAACCGGAGUAAUGAUUGAUAGGGACGGUUGGGGGCAUCCGUAUUCUCAAGCGAGAGGUGAAAUUCUUGGACCUUGGGAAGACGAACAGCUGCGAAAGCGUUUGCCUAGGACGUUCUCUUUAA